UACGGAGGGGGCUAGCGUUGUUCGGAAUUACUGGGCGUAAAGGGCGCGUAGGCGGUGUGUCAAGUCAGGCGUGAAAGCCCCGGGCUCAACCUGGGAACCGCGCUUGAGACUGGCACGCUAGAGUUCGGGAGAGGAUGGUGGAAUUCCCAGUGUAGAGGUGAAAUUCGUAGAUAUUGGGAAGAACACCGAUGGCGAAGGCAGCCAUCUGGACCGACACUGACGCUGAGGCGCGAAAGCGUGGGGAGCAAACAGG
Molecule: ribosomal RNA, 253 nt
Filed under: uncultured bacterium
Lineage: Bacteria
Description: partial 16S ribosomal RNA
Rfam family: Bacterial small subunit ribosomal RNA
Source: RNAcentral